GAUAGCCUGGGGAGAAAUGCCAAAUGUGGAUGAAGGGGAGAAAGGAAGCAAAACAUACUGCCAUGUGUGUACCUAUGCAACUGUCUGGCAUGUUCUGCACAUGUACCCUGAAACCUAAAAUGCAAUAAAAUAUUAAAAAAAAGAAAAAAGAAGAGAGAAUCUAAUGCCUGAUGAUCUGUCACUGUCUCCCAUCACCUUCAUAUGGGAUUAUCUAGUUGCACGAAAACAAGCUCAGGACUCCCACAGAUCUACAUUAUGGUGAGUUGUAUAAUUCUCUCAUCAUAUAUUACAAUUUAAUAAUAAUAGAAAUAAAGUACACAAUAUACGUAAUGCAUUUGAAGCAUCCUGAAGCCAUUCCCUUGAAUGCCUGAUCCUUGGUCUGUGGAAAAACUGUGUUUCAUGGAACCAGUUUCUGGUGCCAAAAAGUUUGGUGACUGUUGUUUUCGAUGUUAACCACUCAGUAUGUGUUGAGUGUAUCUCACUGUGGUUUCAAUUUGCAUUUCCGUUGUGAUUAAUGAUAUUCAGCACCUGUGUGUGUUUACUGGCCAUUGCAUGGCCUCUUUUAUAGAAGACCAGUUUGAAUUUCUUACCCUUUGUUCUACUGGAUUCUGUUAUUUCAUUUUUGAUUAACUUUGAGCAGUUUUUAUGAGAGUCUGAUUAUGAGCCUCUUCUUGAUUAUAUGUAUUAAAACGACACUCUCCCACUCUUGUUUGUCUGUUCACUCUUCUGCUUAUCGAAACAAAAGCUCUUAAUUUUGGCAAAUAAAAAUUCUUAACUUUAAUAGUGCAUCUCUCUUUUCCUUUAUGGUUUAUGGGCUUCCUUUCUCAGUCAUGAAUUCUCCUAUAUGUAAUUUUCUAAAAGCUUUAUUGUUUCAUACUUCAAUCUACAAUCUACCUGGAGCUGAUUUCUGUGAGUGGUGUGAGAGGGAGUCAAGUCUCAGUUUUUGCCUUUAUCUAUCCAUUUCAUUUAGUACUUGAGAAGCUGUCUUUUUCUCAUUACUCUGAUCUUUAUGCUGGGGCUACUUUUCCCUAAGCUGCCCCUGUCCCUCAAUGACCUGUUGAAGGUACUGAAGCGGGGCCAAUUCUGCUUGAUGUGGGCUCUUCUAAUGGGAACCUGUGCUUGGAUGCUACCCAUCAGCCAAACCACACUUUCUUGGAACUGCAGAUUGGUCUGAGGCUCUUCCUACCGGUCUUCUUUCCCUCCUGUCAUGGUGUCAGAUAGGUGUGGUCUGAAAUCUCCCCCUGCCUAAGCAUGCUCUCUCCCCCUUUAUCCUCCCCAAGUAUCUCCCUCCAAAAAUAUCUUGCAUGUCUUGCUCAUCUUGACAUCUGCUAAUUGGAGGACCUGAAUUGACAUAGAGUGAGUAGAUCCUAGAAUAAGAGAGUCAUGCUUCAGUGACAAUGGGACAAAGGGCUUGGCUAAGUUCAGGGCAAAAGAGAAUGAAUAUGGAGAAUGGAUUGAAGGACUUUCUCAAAGAAGAGUGCAUGGAAACUUGUGUCCGGCAAUGUAGAAGGCAAGAGAAGGGGUGGAGUUGAAGACAGUUCUAACAUUGGGACUCAAUCAUCAUGUCACUGAAAAUGAGCUCAUUUCAGGCAACUAUUAUGAUACUACUUCUAUACUAAUUAAGGGAUUUUGGGGAAACAAUUUAAUAACAAUGUUGUUACUUUUGUAUUGGGCUUCAACAGUUUACUAGAUGAAUUUAUACAUCAUCUCAUUUAUUCUUUAAUGGGACUUUGGAAUACAAGGGAAAGGGAAGCACUUAAAUGAGGUCCUGUUUGACUCUCCCUUCCGGGGUCUUCAUUGCUGACCCUUCCACUCCAGACUCUUUUCACUUCUGUUUCCAAGGGUUGAAAUCACUAAAUCACUCAGAUUAGGCCAUCUGCAGUCAAGAUAAAAGGUCAGGGUGAUGUUAGCCUGUGAUGAGAUGGUGUGUGGUCAAAGAGGGUUUUUUUUUAGGCUCUGUCAAGGCUGAAAAAUGGGGGUUUAGGGGAGAAAGUGUAAAUUAAUGGGAUAUACAUUGAUUUGGCUGGGGAUAGCUUAUUUUAUAAUACUUAGGGAUGGUGACUGAUACAGUUUGGAUUUUUGUUCCUCCAAAUCUCAUGUUGAAAUUUGAUCCCCAGUGUUGGAGAUGGGGCCUAAUGGGAGGUGUUUGGGUCAUGGGGGCAGAUCCCUCGAGAAUGGCUUGGUGCCCUCUCCAUCAUAAUGAGUGAGUGCUCACUCUACUAGUUCACAUGACAGUGGUUGUUCAAAAGAGCGUGACAUUCCUUUCCUCCUCACUGUCUGUCUCUUGCUCUUUCCCUCACCCUGUGGCACACUGCUCUCCUUUCUCUUCCACUGCAACUGAAAGCUUCUUGAGGUCCUCACCAGGAGCAGAUGCUGGCGCCAUGCUUCUUGUAUGGACUGCAGAACCAAGAGCCAAAUAAACCUCUUCUGUUUAUAAAUUACCCAGUCUCAGGUAUUCCUUUAUAGCAACAUAAAAUGAACUAAUAUAUUCACCCCACAGUGGGGUGAAGUGUUGAUUUUUGGGGGAUCAUGCAUAAAUUAUAUCACUGUCAGAGAAGGGGAGAGAAGGACAAUAGAAAGCAGAACCAUGUAGAGAAGGAAUGAUCAUUAUGGGUGGGUUGGCAGAAGAAGGACAAUACUAUAUUUUAGAUGGUGUUUGUGUGUGUGUGUGUGUGUGUGUGUGUGUAUUCUAGCCUCAGGGAGAGUAAGAAAAGAAUUUGGUGGUGGGAAGAGAAUAGUGAAAGAGAUGUUGGAAUCAGAAAGAUUCUAAAGAACUUUAGGGUACUUAAGAUUGGUAGCCAUUAACGUAGGCUCCAUCAGCUAGCCAGUAUUAAGCAUCUCCUGUGGCUGCUGUUCACUACUGAUGGGACAGAUGUUGUGUCUUAGGGAAGGGAGCCAGACUUGGAAGCUCCUUCUAUUCUAGGAUUGGACAGACAGGUAUUUAUUUAAAAGAACCAGAUGGUUCAAAGGAGUUUCUAAUUUUAUACUGUCGGGCAUCAGGUUUCAAACUAAAUUUGGGCUCUGCCUUCCAGCUUUCCUGUUGGCCCCGGAUUGAGAAUAGCCUCCUGUUUUACCAGCCAUCUGGUCCCUCCAGAUCUCUGCUGCUGAGUGACAUCUCCAAAUGUCUCCCCGCAGAGAGGACAGAAUCUUAAACAAAAUCUACAGGGCAAAGAUACAUUUUUCUAAUAGGUGAGAUCCUGGAGAGGAAUAGGUCCCCAUGUUGAAAGGACCAUGUGAUGUGAGUCACACUGUGUUUGAUGUGAUAAGUGGCUUCUUGAGCAGUCACAUGUUGAGGUGUGCACUGUACUGGAUAGUCCAUGCCUGUGUUUCUAGAUCUUUGAUUUUCUAGGAUUUCCUUUUCUAAAUAAGUGGGCUCUUGUUCUAAUAAUUCAUCACUUAGUAUCAAUAACUGUUCAUAAAUGCCCACUGUGUGCUAGAUAUUGGUGGCACAUCUACCUCUGGUCUUCUAAAAUGACAAAAAAUAGAGAAUGAUUUAACUCUAACCAUGACAUUAAUCUUUUGAGGACAAUAAUCCAUUAUUAUUUUCAGCAGGACCGUCUCUGGACAGAAGAGGCUAAGGCCAUCCCCAGGGCUUGCUUUGUCUGCAGUGCAAGACAAGUCGCACUAUGAAGUCUCUUUGCUUCCUAUUCUCAACCCCUCCACUGGCAACCCAGCAUUUUUAUCAGGUCAAAGUGAAUGACAAGGGCUAACUUGAAGAGGAUGAGAAGUCACACAAUGCAUCCAUGUGACCCGGAGGGCUCACUAGACUUGGAUGGAGGUGUUACCGCUUGGUUUGGUGAAGUCUGGGGUUUACAGACUUAGGGCACAAAUGUGAGCCUCAGGCCCUUCCUUCUAAGCAGCAGAUGGCAGAGCACCUCAAUGCACUCUGCCAGCUGCCCAGUCCAUGUGCCUGGUGGGAUUGUCCUGCUCUGCUUUCCACAAGGAUGGCUUUGUCUGCCGGAAAGAAUAAUCAUAACUGAAACAAAUGUGUACUUGGAUAGAUACCUGGAUAGAUACAGCUUAGUUGGCUCCUGACAGGUUUCUGGCUAGGAGAGCCUGAGCAGCUACAGUGGGAAGGUAGAUGCUGUAGGACCAGACAGAUGGUGGGUAGCUGUCAUCCACUGCAUCCUGGUCCCCUUCAGUCUCACAUUACAAAUGACCCAAAGGAUAUGUGUGAACAGAUUUGAAAAUUAAAAAAGUUCAGUUGAUUACAUUUAUCACAGGUUUUCUCAAUAACAGGCAGGCAAUAAAACUGGUCGCCAUUCCCUCAAAUAGAUUUUGCAAUGCUUGGGGUCUCCUUUUAAUAUAAAAUGGAGGAGUUGCUAGGAGUAGCAGAUCUGAGCACAUGUCUCUGUCUAGUAGGUUUUUUCUUGCAAAAAGUCUUAUAGUUAUGGCUUAAGUUCUCAUUGCCCAACUGUAUACUCUGAGUCAUUGUCCUGUCACAGCCAUAUUUCUGGCUGGCAUUGUAUCUGCAACCAAGAGUGUGAUUGCAAGAACACAAGGCACUGUGGAAAAGAUAGAUGAGAUUUGUGAGUCAGGAAUUCUGCUCAUAAGGUCUGAGGCUGUUCAUUUCCUGGGUUUGUCCAGGGGACCUUAAGCCAUGGAAAGCAUAAUACUUAGGGAUGGUAAACCUGGCACCACCCUGCUUGCAUUCUUUGCUCCAGGCAUUCUGAUCUAGUUGUCCUUCUCUGUAUCCCAUGCUUGCUCCCUGAGCCCCAACACCUACUGUUCUCUAGAUUGGGGCUUUCUCUAGCUUCAUCCUCCCCUCCCUCAGCCCACUAUGCACUCGGUCAGGCCAACUGGUCUUACUCUGCAGUGGAGUCUGAGGUUUGCUGUUGCUUCCUGUGGGGAGGCUUUUCUGAGCCCCCAAGCCUGGUGCUGUGUGCUCCUGUAGCAGCCCCUGCUUCUUCUGUACACCAUGUAUUGCCAACUUGCUUCUGACUUUUCCCUACAAGCUACAUUCUCCAUGAGGUAGGGAAUUAUGUGUUUAUUUCUCCCAGAACAGAGCCUGGUGCACAGUGGGUGCUCAGUGGUUGAGUGGAUGAAUGGGCCUCAGUGAUCCUUUGCUUCCCUCACACUGAGAAGGUCUGGUCAGCUCGUUUCCCUUUCUCCUCUCCCUUGUUUCUUGCUGACUCUUCUGGAGCACCAGUGAAAACAUAGUCCUUGCCUGGCUUUCUGUUUUUUUUUUUCCCCUCCCCAUUGCUUUAAUUAACUUAGAAAUUCAUUGGACACUCAGACAAAAGAUAGAAUUUGAUUGUCUCUAUAGUAUACCUGGAUGCCACUUCUCUGAAGUCUGUUGGAAUGAAGUAAUGAAACCUUGUAUGUUUUGUUUGUUUUCCAGCUGCCUCCUGGUUAUAAAGCAAAGCAAAACUAGAGAGAAGACCAAUGCCAGAGCCUUUGUUACUAAAAUGUCAGCAUUUCUUGCAACUCUCUUUGGUUUGGGGCUCUUUUGUGUCACAGAUGUUUUCAAAUAGAUCUGGAGAUUUACAGCAUUUUGACCAGAAGAUACCCUGAGAGCAGGCAGUGAGAAGAUCACUCUUUUCUCCUGGUCUGCCUUUUGUAUUAGGUUGGUGCAAAAGUGGCUGCAUUUUUGCCAUUAAAAUUAUUUUUGCAGCAACCUAAAUAGAACGUGUGAUGAUGCAGAGCACCCAAACGAGAGAGUGUGCGACUGUGCAGGCAUCCACUAUGCCUCAAUGUUUAUUUCUUCCAGCUUAGGGGUGUGGCUUCCCUUGUCAUAGUUUCACAAAAGGAUUAUUUCCUAGUUAAAAAGAGAAUCACACAGGUAGAAAUCAAGGUGGGGGAAAAGAUGAAACAACUGUAGGUGUACAAAUGACCCCAUUGAGAUGUUGUAAGAUUGAGAACCAGGAGUAGGGGAGCCUUGUUAGUCUCUGACUUACAGACCUUGAAUCUGAUCCGGAGGCAUUCUUCCAUCUAAGAGCAAUUAUUGGAGUUGAAAGAAAACCACUUAGUUUUACUCAAAUUUGUUUAAAAAUAUUUAUAAUGAGGGUGGGUGUGGUAGCUGAUGCCUGUAAUCCCAGCACUUUGGGAAGCUGAGGAGGGCAGAUCAGGAGGUCAGGAGAUUGAGACCAUCCUGGCCAACAUGGUGAAACCCUGUCUUCACUAAAAACACAAAAAUUAGCUGGGCAUGGUGGUGUGCGCUUGUAAGCCCAGCUACUCAGGAGCCUGAGGCAGGAGAAUCACUUCAACCUGGGAGGCAGAGGCUGCAGUGAGCCGAGGUCAUGCCGCUGCCCUCCAGCCUGGCAAGACUUGGUCUAAAAAUACAUAUUUAUACACACAUACACAUAUAUUCAUAAUGAAACAAGAUAUUUAUAUACACACACACACAUUCAUAAUGAAACAAGAUAUUUAUACACACACAUAUUCAUAAUGAAACGAUAUUUAUAUACACACACACAUUCAUAAUGAAACAAGAUAUUUAUAUACGCACACACACAUAUUCAUAAUGAAACAAGAUAUUUAUAUACACACAUAUAUUCAUAAUGAAACAAGAUAUUUAUAUACACACACACAUAUUCAUAAUGAAACAAGAUAUUUAUAUACACACACACACACACACACAUAUUCAUAAUGAAACAAGAUAUUUAUACACACACACACAUAUUCAUAAUGAAACAAGAAUUAGAAGAAGAAUGGGCACCUAAUACAUGCCAGCUGCCGAGUCAUCCCCUACUGAGGAGGACACUUUCUUAGUCAUCAUCUCAUUUAAUUGUUUUCAUUAGAUAUUGAGAAUAUUCAUAAAAUAUAUAUGAUGUGUAAAGAAUCACAAUAUUGGCGAGGCAUGGUGGUUUAUGCCUAUAAUCCUAGAACUUCUGAAGGCCAAGGCAGGAGGAUUGCUUGUGGCCAGAAGUUCAAUACCAGCCUGUGCAACAUAGUCAGACUUCAUCUCUACAAAAAAUAAAUAAAUUAGCUGGGUGUGGUGCAUGCCUGCAGUCCCAGCUACUCGGGAGACUGAAGUGGGAGGAUUGCUUGAAACCAGGGGCUUGAGGCUGCCGUGAACUGUUAUCACAUCACUGCAUUCCAGCCUGGGUGACAGAGCAAGACCCUAUCUCUAAAAAAAUAAAAAGAAAUAUGGUGGGAGCGAAACCAACGCUGGCUCGUGGCAGCAGCUGCUGAGGUGUCCCUGGCCAGUGUCCUUCCACCUGUCCACAAGCAUGGGGAACAUCUUCGCCAACCUCUUCAAGGGCCUUUUUGGCACAAAGGAAAUGCGCAUCCUCAUGGUGGGCCUGGAUGCUGCGGGGAAGACCACGAUCCUGUACAAGCUAAAGCUGGGUGAGAUCGUGACCACCAUUCCCACCAUAGGCUUCAAUGUGGAAACUGUGGAGUACAAGAACAUCAGCUUCACUGUGUGGGACGUGGUGGCCAGGACAAGAUCCGGCCUCUGUGGCGCCACUACUUCCAGAACACACAAGGCCUGAUCUUCAUGGUGGACAGCAAUGAUAGAGAGCACGCGAACAGGCCCGUGAGGAGCUCAUGAGGAUGCUGGCUGAGGAUGAGCUCCGGGAUGCUGUCCUCGCCAACAAGCAGGACCUCCCCAACUCCAUGAAUGCGGCCGAGAUCACAGACAAGCUGGGGCUGCAAUCCCUACGCCACAGGAACUGGUACAUUCAGGCCACCUGAGCCACCAGCGGUGACGGGCUGUAUGAAGGACUGGACUGGCUGUCCAAUCAGCUCCGGAACCAGAAGUGAACGCGACCCCCUCCCUCUCACUCCUCUCACCCUCUGCGUUACUCUCAUGUGGCAAACGUGCGGCUCUGGUGUGAAUGCCAGAAGCUGCCUCAGUGGUUUGGUCACCGUGUGCAUCGCACCGUGCUGUAAAUGUGGUGGACGCAGCCUGCCGCCAGGCUUUUUAUUUAAUAUAAAUAGUUUUUGUUCCCAAUGAGGCAGUUUCUGGUACUCCUAUGCAAUAUUACUCAGCUUUUUUUAUUGUAAAAAGAAAAAUCAACUCACUGUUCAGUGCUGAGAGGGGAUGUAGGCCUGUGGGCACCUGGCCUCCAGGAGUCGAUGUGUUGGGAAAGCCGGGCACGCUCUUGGCUUUAGAGCUGUGUUAAAAUCCAUUUUGGUGGUUGGUUUUUAACCCAAACUCAGUGCACUUUUUUAAAUAGUUAAAAAUCCAAGUCGAGAACACUUGAACAUACAGAAGGGAGACCCUGCCUAGCAUAGAUUUGCAGUUACAGCCUGGAUGCCGGUCGCCAGCCCGGCUGUUCCCCUUGGGAAUGUGAGGCGGCGGCGCUGCAGACCGCGAUCAAUUCUGCAUGGUCGCAAUAGAGAUCCCGCAACUCACUUGUCCUUGGGUCACCCUGCAUUCCAUAGCCAUGUGCUUGUUCCUGUGCCCCCAUGGUUCCCAGGGGCCAAGCUGGGAGCCCACAGCCGCCCCACUCUCCUGCAGGCCUCCCCGCCCACCUUCAGGCAGCCUGUGGGAAACAGGGCCCCACCUGUCCCUCGGUCAGCAUGUGGCCUGAGUGAGUCCGUCAUUCCCACUGCUCGUGCUCGCUCAGACACUUCGGCAGGAUGUCUGGGGUCUCACCAGCAGGAGUGUGUGAAAGCCGGGCAGGCGGUCCACCUCCACCCACAGCCCCUCGGGAGCACCCCACCUCCGUGUGUGACGUAGCUUUCUUUCCCUCAACCUGCAAGGGUCCGAUUUGCCAUUGAAAAAGACAACCUCUACUUUUUUCUUUUGUAUUUUGAUAAACACUGAAGAAGCUGGAGCUGUUAAAUUUAUCUUGGGGAAAUCUCAGAACUGGUCUGUUUGGUGUCGUGGAGCCUCUUACUGCUUUCAGUACACGGUUGGUAAUCAACGUUUUGUAUACUUGUUUUCAGUUUUCAUUUCGACAAACAAGUGCUGUAAUUAUAGCUAUUAGAAUAAAACCUCUUAACUAUUAAAAAAAAAAAAAAAAGAAAUACAAAAGAGUGAACGCCUGUGUCCAGCAUUACCUUUGGGUGCCCUGUAGAAUCUGCCUUCUUCCCUUCUCGGAUGUAGCCACCUGUGUCCAGCAUUACCUUUGGGUGCCCUGUAGAAUCUGCCUUCUUCCCUUCUCGAAUGUAGCCAUUCUCCUAAAUUUUGUGUUUAUUGUUCACUUUCUUUCUAAAAUACGUUUUUACUUUUUGCUCUAUUCCAAAAUGACAUGUUGUUUCGUUUUGAAUGUUGCUGGCCUUUAUACAAAUGGAAUCAUACUAUAUGAAUUUUCUGCAACUUGUGUUUUUCACUCAGAUAUUUGAUCUUGAGUUUCAUUGGUGUAGUUGUGUCACUGUAAUUAAUUCCUAUUAUAGGAAUUAUAUAGUGCUAGAGUGUAUAAAUAUACCACAGUGUGGUUUAUUCAGAUGUGGAUGAAUGUUUGGAUUGUUUCCAUUUUUAAAACACGAUAUAGACAAGACUUGAUCAUUCUUGUAUGAGUCCCUUUGUGCUGAUUUUGUCAGACUUUUAAACUUUUGCCAGUCUGGUAGUUAUGAAAUAGCAUCUUAUGGUGGUUUGUUAUUAUUUUUUUUUCAUGAGACAGAGUCUUGCUCUGUCACCAGGCACCAGGCUGGAGUGCAGUGGUGUGAUCUCGGCUCACUGUAACCUCUGCCUCCUGGGUUCAAGUGAUUCUCUUGCCUCAGCUUCCUGAGUAGCUGGGAUUAUAGGCGCCCACCACCAUGCCCAGCAAAUUUUUGUAGUUUUAGUAGAGAUGGGGUUUCACCGUAUUGGCUAACCUGGUCUCAAACUCCCAACCUCAGGUGAUCUGCCUACCUCAUUCUCCCAAAGUGUUAGGAUUACAGGUGUGAGCCAAUGUGCCUGGCCAAGCAUAUUUUCAUAUGGAUAUGGAUACUUAUGUUUCUUCUACUCUAAAGAGAUAGUUCAAGCCUUGCCAAUCUUAGUGAUUUUUAAAAUAAUUUCAAUUUCUAUUUGAGAUUCAAGGGGUACAUGUGCAGGUUUUUUACAUGGUUAUAUUAUAUGAUGCUAUGGUUUUGGGUACAUUCAUUCCUGUUACCCAUGUAGUGAGCAUAGUACUCAAUAGUUUUUCAAUCCUUCGCUCCCCAUCCCACCUCCAAUAGUUCCCAGUGUCUAUUGUUGCCACCUUUGUGUCCACGUGUACCCAAUGUUUAGCUCCCACUUAAAGGGGGGACAUGUGACCUUUGGUUUUCUUUUUCUGCAUGAAUUUGCUUAGGAUAAUGCCUCCAGCUGUAUCCA
Molecule: non-coding RNA, 10186 nt
Organism: Callithrix jacchus (white-tufted-ear marmoset)
Lineage: Eukaryota; Metazoa; Chordata; Mammalia; Primates; Cebidae
Source: RefSeq, a predicted model, not a curated record